CAAAAAACAAAUGCAAAAUAUUAAGCCCUAGUCUCUCUUUGUAUACUUCACCAAACUUUGUCACUCUUUUCAUUCCAAAUUCACCCAAUCUCCUUAUCCACUCACAAUAACAUAGCACCUCUCUAGAACCCCUUUUCUUUCUUAUUCUCUGCAAUGGCUUCUGCUAAUGCUAUUUCCACUGCUUCUAUUAUCCCUUCUCCUUCUAAACAGGGGGGUUUGAAGAAUAGGAAGGUCAGCCAAUUGCAGGGACAGAGAUUUGGCAACAAGGGUGCAAAGAACCAAUUUGUAGUCAAGGCCUGUGCUAAAGAAAUUGCCUUUGACCAGAAAUCUAGGAGUGCCCUGCAGGCUGGAAUCGACAAGCUUGCUGAUGCUGUCGGCCUGACUCUUGGUCCAAGGGGAAGGAAUGUAGUGUUGGAUGAAUAUGGCACCCCUAAGGUGGUUAAUGAUGGAGUUACAAUUGCUCGUGCCAUUGAGCUACCUGAUGCUAUGGAGAAUGCUGGGGCUGCCCUUAUCAGGGAGGUUGCAAGCAAAACCAAUGAUUCAGUUGUUGUUCCAUCACCAGCUGA
RNAcentral lists this unclassified non-coding RNA (566 nucleotides) under Hevea brasiliensis (rubber tree). Lineage: Eukaryota; Viridiplantae; Streptophyta; Magnoliopsida; Malpighiales; Euphorbiaceae. The record is from RNAcentral.